Molecule: ribosomal RNA, 464 nt
Filed under: Selenomonas sputigena
Lineage: Bacteria; Bacillati; Bacillota; Negativicutes; Selenomonadales; Selenomonadaceae
Description: bacterial SSU rRNA
Rfam family: Bacterial small subunit ribosomal RNA
Source: RNAcentral
GACGAACGCUGCGGCGUGCUUAACACAUGCAAGUCGAACGGGAACCUUUAUUUCGGUAAAGGUGAGAGUGGAAACGGGUGAGUAACACGUAGGCAACCUGCCGACAGGAUGGGGACAACAUUCCGAAAGGAAUGCUAAUACCGAAUAAAGUCACCGGAGGGCAUCCUCUGGUGAUGAAAGAUGGCCUCUGAAUAUGCUAUCACCUGUCGAUGGGCCUGCGUCUGAUUAGCCAGUUGGCGGGGUAACGGCCCACCAAAGCGACGAUCAGUAGCCGGUCUGAGAGGAUGAACGGCCACAUUGGGACUGAGACACGGCCCAGACUCCUACGGGAGGCAGCAGUGGGGAAUCUUCCACAAUGGGCGAAAGCCUGAUGGAGCAACGCCGCGUGAGUGAAGAAGGUCUUCGGAUCGUAAAGCUCUGUUGCACGGGACGAAAACCGAGCUUGAGAAUAUUGAGUUUGGGUG